UCCUCCCUCUGGCGGCGUGCUUAACACAUGCAAGUCGAACGGAAAGGCCCUGCUUUUGUGGGGUGCUCGAGUGGCGAACGGGUGAGUAACACGUGAGUAACCUGCCCUUGACUUUGGGAUAACUUCAGGAAACUGGGGCUAAUACCGGAUAGGAGCUCCUGCGGCAUGGUGGGGGUUGGAAAGUUUCGGCGGUUGGGGAUGGACUCGCGGCUUAUCAGCUUGUUGGUGGGGUAGUGGCUUACCAAGGCUUUGACGGGUAGCCGGCCUGAGAGGGUGACCGGCCACAUUGGGACUGAGAUACGGCCCAGACUCCUACGGGAGGCAGCAGUGGGGAAUAUUGCACAAUGGGCGGAAGCCUGAUGCAGCAACGCCGCGUGCGGGAUGACGGCCUUCGGGUUGUAAACCGCUUUCGCCUGUGACGAAGCGUGAGUGACGGUAAUGGGUAAAGAAGCACCGGCUAACUACGUG
RNAcentral lists this ribosomal RNA (468 nucleotides) under uncultured bacterium. Its description in RNAcentral is "partial 16S ribosomal RNA". It matches the Rfam family "Bacterial small subunit ribosomal RNA", at positions 36 to 507 of the family's 1533-position model. The record is from RNAcentral.